RNAcentral lists this long non-coding RNA (503 nucleotides) under Vulpes vulpes (red fox). RNAcentral describes it as "lncRNA (ENSVVUG00000010801.1)". The record is from RNAcentral. Lineage: Eukaryota; Metazoa; Chordata; Mammalia; Carnivora; Canidae.
UGUUUCUCUAAAAUGCACACAUUUUCUCACUUCUUCUGCAAGUUAAUGAUCAAGGAGGAUGUACUUUAGCAGCUUUUUGUAAAGUCACCCAGAAUCUGUUGUCAGGCAUAGUGCUAGGCUCUCUGGGAGAAAGCAGUGCCCUUUUAAUGUAUGCAUUCUGAUUAAUUUCUUCUUGGACUGCACUUAGACUCACCUCUAAGAGCUUGCCUGCAGUAAGAGCACAAGAAUCAGGAGUGGAUUGGGUUUACUAUCUUACCCAGUCCAGCAUUCGAAGAUAUGGACCCCAAGAGAUGUGUUUCUGGAAGAUGGAUGUGUUUGACUCCAUGAGCAUCCCCUAUAAAGGUCUGGGAAUGCAAGCGUAGAGCCAUUGGCAGCCACUUUGUCAUCAUGAGGGGUGACUGACUGAGCAUGGCAUCCACACAUGGGAGUCCAGUGGCAUAAUACAUUCUUAUGAAGAACUGAAACAAUUUCCAGAAUAAAGUAGUAACGCUGGUAAGCUAGCA